RNAcentral lists this ribosomal RNA (440 nucleotides) under uncultured bacterium. RNAcentral's name for it is "partial 16S ribosomal RNA". It matches the Rfam family "Bacterial small subunit ribosomal RNA", at positions 338 to 795 of the family's 1533-position model. The record is from RNAcentral.
CCUACGGGGGGCAGCAGUGGGGAAUAUUGCACAAUGGGGGAAACCCUGAUGCAGCGACGCCGCGUGAGUGAAGAAGUAUUUCGGUACGUAAAGCUCUAUCAGCAGGGAAGAAAAUGACGGUACCUGACUAAGAAGCCCCGGCUAACUACGUGCCAGCAGCCGCGGUAAUACGUAGGGGACAAGCGUUAUCCGGAUUUACUGGGUGUAAAGGGAGCGUAGACGGCAGCGCAAGUCUGGAGUGAAAUCCCAUGGCUUAACCAUGGAACUGCUUUGGAAACUGUGCAGCUAGAGUGCAGGAGAGGUAAGCGGAAUUCCUAGUGUAGCGGUGAAAUGCGUAGAUAUUAGGAGGAACACCAGUGGCGAAGGCGGCUUACUGGACUGUAACUGACGUUGAGGCUCGAAAGCGUGGGGAGCAAACAGGAUUAGAUACCCCAGUAGUC